CAGAGUUAUGAGAUUGAGCUGUUUUAUCUGGCAGGAACCUGCAGAGGGCUUGAAGAAGCUGAUGAUUUUAUACCUGGUCUUGUUGAAGUGGCUGCACUCGGCCGCUCAUUGGACCUUGGGGUGUUAUAUGACUGCCGCAAUGAUUCUUUCAGCUCAGAUGUCUCACUGUGGGAUGUGGAUACUGUAUCCUCUUUGAAACUGUCCAUUCCUCAGCCUUAUGUAGAUGUGAAGAUUUUAGACAGAGAUUCUCUGCAGGACAGAUUAAAAGCUCUGGACUUGACCACUGCUCUUAGAGCUAGCGUUGUAUCAGGACUAAUGGAGGUGGCUGGAGCUGCUGCCUUUC
Long non-coding RNA from Pygocentrus nattereri (red-bellied piranha), 343 nucleotides. RefSeq lists it as uncharacterized. The record is from RefSeq and is a predicted model, not a curated record. The transcript is spliced from 3 exons. NCBI's taxonomy places the organism in Eukaryota, Metazoa, Chordata, Actinopteri, Characiformes, Serrasalmidae.